CGGAUUAAGGAAACCGGCGCACGGGUGCGUAACGCGUAUGCAACUUGCCCUUAUCAGGAGGAUAGCCCGGGGAAACUCGGAUUAAUACUCCAUAAGAUUUUGAUUGGCAUCGAUUAAAAUUGAAAGAUUUAUUGGAUAAGGAUAGGCAUGCGUCAGAUUAGUUAGUUGGUAGUGUAACGGACUACCAAGGCGAUGAUCUGUAGGGGGCCUGAGAGGGUGAACCCCCACACUGGUACUGAGACACGGACCAGACUCCUACGGGAGGCAGCAGUGAGGAAUAUUGGACAAUGGAGGGAACUCUGAUCCAGCCAUCCCGCGUGCAGGAAGACGGCCCUAUGGGUUGUAAACUGCUUUUGUAUGGGGAUAAAUCUACUUACGUGUAGGUAGUUGAAGGUACCAUACGAAUAAGCAUCGGCUAACUCCGUGCCAGCAGCCGCGGUAAUACGGAGGAUGCAAGCGUUAUCCGGAUUCAUUGGGUUUAAAGGGUCCGUAGGCGGGCUGAUAAGUCAGUGGUGAAAUUUUGUCGCUCAACGAUAAAACUGCCAUUGAUACUGUUAGUCUUGAGUGAUAUUGAAGUAGCUGGAAUGUGUAGUGUAGCGGUGAAAUGCAUAGAUAUUACACAGAACACCGAUUGCGAAGGCAGGUUACUAAGUAUUAACUGACGCUGAAGGACGAAAGCGUGGGGAGCGAACAGGAUUAGAUACCCUGGUAGUCCACGCA
Molecule: ribosomal RNA, 720 nt
Filed under: Ornithobacterium rhinotracheale
Lineage: Bacteria; Pseudomonadati; Bacteroidota; Flavobacteriia; Flavobacteriales; Weeksellaceae
Description: bacterial SSU rRNA
Rfam family: Bacterial small subunit ribosomal RNA
Source: RNAcentral